AAUUACGGGCAAUCUGUCGAAGAUUUAUGGUGAAGUAGAAAGCACGUGAAUCUUACUGUUCAGUCAUCCACUUUCCACACGCAACAUCAGCUCAUGGGUACCACAGAUAACUUUGUCAAAGAUCUCUGACAAAGUUUAGACACGUGAAGCUUGUAGCUCCCACUACAUUGCUAUGACCAAGAAGGGUAAAAGAAUAGCAAAGAAACAACACUAACAAAGUUUAGACACAAAUUUUGAAGGUUUAGCUACCAUAUUAUUACCCACAAGGGUAAAGGAACAACACCACUGCUGGAUAAUUGGAAAGUCCCUGUCUGUCAACCUCUGUGCUCCGUGGCAAGGUAGACUAGCAAAAAUGCCCAACCUUUACUCACAUUCGAGAAAACACUCCCAACAAGAUUGCUUGCUCCAAAAUCGAAGAGGCACCGACCUCCGAAUCUCGAGAGCCAGACUCCCAAUAGGAUUACUUUAUUAAAAAUCGAAGAGACACUGCUAUCCGAAUUUCAAGAGCCAGACUCCCAGCAUGAUUGCUUUCUCAAAGAUCGAAGAGACACCGUUCUC
This 558-nucleotide long non-coding RNA is filed under the name Malus domestica (apple). RNAcentral describes it as "long non-coding RNA (MDOM_LNC017171)". The record is from RNAcentral. Lineage: Eukaryota; Viridiplantae; Streptophyta; Magnoliopsida; Rosales; Rosaceae.